Molecule: ribosomal RNA, 820 nt
Filed under: uncultured marine bacterium
Lineage: Bacteria
Description: bacterial SSU rRNA
Rfam family: Bacterial small subunit ribosomal RNA
Source: RNAcentral
AACGUACGCUGGCGGCACGCCUAACACAUGCAAGUCGAACGAAGUAGCAAUACUUAGUGGCAGACGGGUGAGUAACAUGUAGGUAUCUACCCUAUGGCCUGGAAUAACACGAGGAAACUUGUGCUAAUACCGGAUAAGUCUUUACAGAGAAAGCUUUAUGCACCAUUGGAUGAGCCUGCACUUGAUUAGUUUGUUGGUGGGGUAAUGGCCUACCAAGACUGUGAUCAAUAGCUGAUUUGAGAGGAUGAUCAGCCACAUUGGGACUGAGACACGGCCCAAACUCCUACGGGAGGCAGCAGUGGGGAAUCUUGCACAAUGGAGGAAACUCUGAUGCAGCGAUGCCGCGUGAGUGAAGAAGGCCCUUGGGUUGUAAAGCUCUUUCGUCGGGGAAGAAAAUGACUGUACCCGAAUAAGAAGGUCCGGCUAACUUCGUGCCAGCAGCCGCGGUAAUACGAAGGGACCUAGCGUAGUUCGGAAUUACUGGGCUUAAAGAGUUCGUAGGUGGUUGGAAAAGUUGGUGGUGAAAUCCCAGAGCUUAACUCUGGAACUGCCAUCAAAACUUUUCAGCUAGAGUAUGAUAGAGGAAAGCAGAAUUUCUAGUGUAGAGGUGAAAUUCGUAGAUAUUAGAAAGAAUACCAAUUGCGAAGGCAGCUUUCUGGAUCAUUACUGACACUGAGGAACGAAAGCAUGGGUAGCGAAGAGGAUUAGAUACCCUCGUAGUCCAUGCCGUAAACGAUGUGUGUUAGACGUUGGAAAUUUAUUUUCAGUGUCGCAGCGAAAGCGAUAAACACACCGCCUGGGGAGUACGACCGCAAGGUUA